Mirounga angustirostris (Northern elephant seal) is the source of this 103-nucleotide small nuclear RNA. NCBI's taxonomy places the organism in Eukaryota, Metazoa, Chordata, Mammalia, Carnivora, Phocidae. The record is from RefSeq and is a predicted model, not a curated record.
GUGCUCGCUUUGGCAGCACAUAGACUAAGAUUAGAGCGAUACAGAGAAGAUUAGCAUGGCCCCUGAGCAAGGGUGACAAGUUCGUGAAGCGUUCUAUAUUAAA